GAAAUGCAGGUGCAGCUGGACUUUUCUCUGAGCUAUAAGCAUAUCUAUUUAGUCUGCCUAAAAACAGAUUAUUACCUUUGCUGCAGCUAACAUAAAGGAGAUUAGUUCUUGUGCUGACUGAUGCAGGAUUCACAGAGACAGCUUCGGCUGGCCUUUGUAAACUCGAUCUCAAAUCAAGUAAGACUACCCGCUGAACUUAA
RNAcentral lists this unclassified non-coding RNA (200 nucleotides) under soil metagenome. Its description in RNAcentral is "partial contains internal transcribed spacer 2 and large subunit ribosomal RNA". The record is from RNAcentral.